Molecule: ribosomal RNA, 307 nt
Filed under: uncultured bacterium
Lineage: Bacteria
Description: bacterial SSU rRNA
Rfam family: Bacterial small subunit ribosomal RNA
Source: RNAcentral
GUGCCAGCAGCCGCGGUAAUACGGGGGGUGCUAGCGUUAUUCGGAAUUACUGGGCGUAAAGAGCGCGUAGGCGGUACCUUAAGUCAGAUGUGAAAGCCCGGGGCUUAACCCCGGAAGUGCAUUUGAAACUAAGGUGCUUGAGUACGGGAGAGGGAAGUGGAAUUCCUGGUGUAGCGGUGAAAUGCGUAGAUAUCAGGAGGAACACCGGUGGCGAAGGCGACUUCCUGGACCGUUACUGACGCUGAGGCGCGAAGGCGUGGGGAGCAAACAGGAUUAGAUACCCUGGUAGUCCACGCAGUAAACGGUG